UACGGGGGGGAGCAAGCGUUGUUCGGAUUUACUGGGCGUAAAGAGCGUGUAGGCGGUCCGGUAAGUCCGCUGUGAAAGUCGGGGGGCUCAACCCUCGAAUGCCGGUGGAUACUGUCGGGCUAGAGUGCGGAAGAGGCGAGUGGAAUUCCUGGUGUAGCGGUGAAAUGCGCAGAUAUCAGGAGGAACACCUAUUGCGAAGGCAGCUCGCUGGGACGUAACUGACGCUGGAGACGCGAAAGCGUGGGGAGCAAACAGG
RNAcentral lists this ribosomal RNA (256 nucleotides) under uncultured bacterium. RNAcentral describes it as "partial 16S ribosomal RNA". It matches the Rfam family "Bacterial small subunit ribosomal RNA", at positions 524 to 776 of the family's 1533-position model. The record is from RNAcentral.